UACGUAGGUGGCAAGCGUUGUCCGGAAUCAUUGGGCGUAAAGCGCGCGUAGGCGGCCCGAUCAGUCCGCUGUAAAAGUCCAGGGCUCAACCCUGGAAAGCCGGUGGAUACUGUCGGGCUAGAGUCCGGAAGAGGCGAGUGGAAUUCCUGGUGUAGCGGUGGAAUGCGCAGAUAUCAGGAGGAACACCGAUAGCGAAGGCAGCUCGCUGGGACGGUACUGACGCUGAGGUGCGAAAGCGUGGGGAGCGAACAGG
This 253-nucleotide ribosomal RNA is filed under the name uncultured bacterium. RNAcentral's name for it is "partial 16S ribosomal RNA". It matches the Rfam family "Bacterial small subunit ribosomal RNA", at positions 524 to 776 of the family's 1533-position model. The record is from RNAcentral.